UCCCUGGUGGCUCAGACGGUAAAGCAUCUGCCUGCAGUGCGGGAGACCCAGGUUCGAUCCCUGGGUUGGGAA
RNAcentral lists this transfer RNA (72 nucleotides) under Bos taurus (domestic cattle). It matches the Rfam family "tRNA". Rfam says of the family: Transfer RNA (tRNA) molecules are approximately 80 nucleotides in length. Lineage: Eukaryota; Metazoa; Chordata; Mammalia; Artiodactyla; Bovidae. The record is from Rfam by way of RNAcentral. RNAcentral also lists the same sequence under 4 other names.